CAAAGUGACAAUUUUUUUUUAGCUAGAGGGGCUCCUGGAUGGCUCAGUUAUUUGAGCCUCCAACUUCAGCUCAGGUCAUGAUCUCACAGUUGGUGAGUUCCAACCCCACAUAAGGCUCACUGCUGUCAGCCUGUUAGCCUGCAGCCUGCUUCGGAUCCUCUGUCCCCCUCUCUGUGCUCCUCCCCAGCUUGUGCUCACCCCAAAAUAAAUAAAUAGCAAAUAGUUUAUGAGACACUAGCCUAAUUAUUUGUCAUGUAUAAGAGCUGAUUGCACCUCAGGGCCUUGGGCAAAGCCUCCUGUGCAUCUGACAUCCUCUAGUCCUCACAAGAAUCCUGUGAGGUGUAAACAGUGUUACAAUACCUAUUUUACACAUGAAUGGACCCAGGAAUUCUUUUUGGGGAGAAGAAUGAAUGAAGUUACUUUUCUAAGCUUGUUUAGCCAGGAAACCGGUGAAGCCAUGUUUCAAACCCAGGCAGUCCCUUGCUAUUUCAGCUCCCUGGUUCCGUGGCUCAUUUUUCAAUGAUGACAAAAUAGGUGCACUAAUGAUUUUACUUCAUUGUGAGGACUGAGAAGGAAACAAAAGUAUCUAAAAAUCUAAACCAGCCUUGUUCUUUCUCAUCAUUCAUUUUCACCUAAUAAGUUUCAGGAUAUGUAGGCGUCAAGCACUGCUCCAGAAACUGGGAUACAAGUACAAACAUGGCCCCUGUGAAGUCUCAUGGAGUCCAUGAAUUGUAGCAAUUCUGGGAUACAUGUAACAGUGCAAGGGCACACAAUUUACAGUAGCUAUUUUGACAGGCAGCUGGAGCAGGGGUUGGGGUCUCAGCAGGGGAGUCACUUCAGAAAACCUUCAUGGACUACUGUGCAUUUAAUCCACGUCUUGAAAUGUUGGUCCUUUUUUUCUAGAUAAACAAAGGUGGGCGACAGGGAAAGAAGUUUGCAAGUUACAGAAAUGAAAAAUAUGAAGGCAAGAAGAUGUUCUAAAAGAGCAGAUGUUUUCAAAGAACUGAAUUUAUCAGAAUGUCCGGGAUGGCAAGGAUUUACAGAGCGCUUUUCUAAGUCCGAGGCCACACAAAUGUGGUACCUGAAGGGGAAAAUCUGCCUUGGAGAAAUCAAGCUGAUAUUCAGGGGUGUCACUUCAUUUUAGUUAUUUGACAGCCUGAAGAAGUGUUUAAUUUUCUAAAUAACGUUACAAACCAAACUAAAGGGAAAACAUGUGGUAUAAAGCUUUUCAACAUUGUCCGUCUUCUGACGGGUGAAGUCUUCUUGAGAAAGUACCUUUGCCCAAUAAUACUGCUCCUCGGCCAAGAGUUGUAAUGUCCAUGGACAUUAUAAGGAACUAUAAAUGUUAGAAGGCUAGAGGAAUACAUUUGGCAAGAUAAAGGAAAAUAUCUCAGGAUGUAAGUAGUCUCUGACCCUUAAUUUUUCUUCAUGUUUUAUCAUGUAAAGAUGGCAUUACUUAUAGUGACUGUUAAUGUAUUAACAUUUCCUUGAAAAUGGAUAUUAAUCUGCUAUUAGGUUUCCUUUGUAGGAAUGUUUUACUUAGCUGUAUGAUGAAGGGAGAGCAGGGUAAUAGAGAGAUAAUAAGCUUUUCAGAUGGGCGGAUCUACCACUUAGAAAGGACCCUUGGGCAAGACAUAUAAACUCUUCGGAACUCAACUAGAUUUACUCAAAUUUAAGAAUGAGAACAAUAGUAUAUACUUCGAAAUGUUUCAGAGAAAGGUCUAUCCUAAUGCCUGCAGUAUAAAUUCCAAUAAAGAUUCUUUAAUUUCAUUUUUCA
RNAcentral lists this long non-coding RNA (1777 nucleotides) under Felis catus (domestic cat). RNAcentral's name for it is "lncRNA (ENSFCAG00000051721.1)". The record is from RNAcentral. Lineage: Eukaryota; Metazoa; Chordata; Mammalia; Carnivora; Felidae.